GAGGUGAUAUAUGAAAAAUGAAAGAAAUUAGGCUAAAUUACAUUAAGGGUUGCAUAUUAAGUGUGUUUGGGCUCUUUAUGUUGAGUUAUGUAAGACCAAGAGUUAGAGAAUUAAUUAGAGGGUUUAAUUGCUUUAUUGAAAGUCCAAAAUAAAUAAAAUAAAGUUGUGUAGGUUCCCAAGGUCAUGCAAGUGGUAGAUCUAUACAAGGAAAGUUAUUUUUAAAUUGUUUUCCUACUUUAACUAGGUUCUUGAGAGAGUUUUAAGUUAGAAUGCAACAAGGACUUUCAAAUCAGAUAUGGAGUCUUUGUUAACUAUUUUCCUCUAUAAAAAUGGUCCAAAAUAAAUAUUUGAUGCUUUUCAAUUCUCUUAUACUCAGAGUGGCAAACUAUCCUCUUUAUGCAUUCCAAAGUGUCAAUUGCUUGAUCUAGUUACUGGUGUGAUUUAUUCUUCUUCUUCUUUGGCCUGUGGAGCACUUCUACAUCCCUUUGGAGUG
RNAcentral lists this unclassified non-coding RNA (493 nucleotides) under Hevea brasiliensis (rubber tree). Lineage: Eukaryota; Viridiplantae; Streptophyta; Magnoliopsida; Malpighiales; Euphorbiaceae. The record is from RNAcentral.